This 414-nucleotide ribosomal RNA is filed under the name uncultured microorganism. RNAcentral's name for it is "bacterial SSU rRNA". It matches the Rfam family "Archaeal small subunit ribosomal RNA", at positions 459 to 872 of the family's 1478-position model. The record is from RNAcentral.
CAGCCGCCGCGGUAAUACCGGCGGCCCGAGUGGCGGUCACUAUUAUUGGGCUUAAAGCGGCCGUAGCCGGGUUGGGAAGGCCUCCGGGAAAUCUGGCCGCUUAACGGUCAGAAUGCCGGAGGAUACUCCCAGCCUAGGGAGCGGGAGAGGCCGAGGGGAUUCCCGGAGGAGGGGGGAAAUCCUAUAAUCCCGGGAGGACCACCUGUGGCGAAGGCGCUCGGCUGGAACGCGUCCGACGGUGAGGGACGAAGGCCAGGGGAGCAAACCGGAUUAGAUACCCGGGUAGUCCUGGCUGUAAACGAUGCGGACUUUGUGUCGGACAAGCUAUGAGCUUGUCCGGUGCCGGAGGGAAACCGUUAAGUCCGCCGCCUGGGGAGUACGGCCGCAAGGCUGAAACUUAAAGGAAUUGGCGGG